ACCAACACCAGGAGCUUUCCUCAUGACCCUAAUCAUAUCAUCAAUAAUUUUCUGCACUUUCUCAGAUUUUAUCUCACUAGGAUCAAUUUCUUGAGCAGGUUCAUGAAGAACUGGGUCACCAGCUUUAAGAGUAUCAGGCAAAUUCAUCUUCUUCUUAUUAUCUGUAAGGCCUGAAAACCAACCUGCUCUUGUUCUUACAGUAGCAGCUUGAGAAGAUGAUGAUGGUGUUAAGGUUAAAAUCAAUGGUGGCUUUGAAAUUGGUAAUGCAGAUAAUGGGGUUGUAGUUUUGGUUGUAAAGAGAGAGUUUUUGGACAUGGAUACUGGAAGUACACACCGCAUAUGUAAAGCUUCCAUGGCUUUCAU
Molecule: long non-coding RNA, 363 nt
Filed under: Trifolium pratense (red clover)
Lineage: Eukaryota; Viridiplantae; Streptophyta; Magnoliopsida; Fabales; Fabaceae
Description: long non-coding RNA (TPRA_LNC002305)
Source: RNAcentral